AAUGAAACUAGAUACAAGCGAGCGGCGGACGGGUGAGUAACACGUGGGUAACCUGCCCAAGAGACUGGGAUAACACCUGGAAACAGAUGCUAAUACCGGAUAACAACACUAGACGCAUGUCUAGAGUUUGAAAGAUGGUUCUGCUAUCACUCUUGGAUGGACCUGCGGUGCAUUAGCUAGUUGGUAAGGUAACGGCUUACCAAGGCAAUGAUGCAUAGCCGAGUUGAGAGACUGAUCGGCCACAUUGGGACUGAGACACGGCCCAAACUCCUACGGGAGGCAGCAGUAGGGAAUCUUCCACAAUGGACGAAAGUCUGAUGGAGCAACGCCGCGUGAGUGAAGAAGGGUUUCGGCUCGUAAAGCUCUGUUGGUAGUGAAGAAAGAUAGAGGUAGUAACUGGCCUUUAUUUGACGGUAAUUACUUAGAAAGUCACGGCUAACUACGUGCCAGCAGCCGCGGUAAUACGUAGGUGGCAAGCGUUGUCCGGAUUUAUUGGGCGUAAAGCGAGUGCAGGCGGUUCAAUAAGUCUGAUGUGAAAGCCUUCGGCUCAACCGGAGAAUUGCAUCAGAAACUGUUGAACUUGAGUGCAGAAGAGGAGAGUGGAACUCCAUGUGUAGCGGUGGAAUGCGUAGAUAUAUGGAAGAACACCAGUGGCGAAGGCGGCUCUCUGGUCUGCAACU
This 680-nucleotide ribosomal RNA is filed under the name uncultured bacterium. RNAcentral describes it as "bacterial SSU rRNA". It matches the Rfam family "Bacterial small subunit ribosomal RNA", at positions 71 to 741 of the family's 1533-position model. The record is from RNAcentral.